GGCUCUAUAACUCAGUCAGUUGGAGCGUCGUACCAGUAACACGAAUGUCGAGGGUUCGAUCCCCUACGGAGCCA
Molecule: transfer RNA, 74 nt
Filed under: Trichobilharzia regenti
Lineage: Eukaryota; Metazoa; Platyhelminthes; Trematoda; Strigeidida; Schistosomatidae
Rfam family: tRNA
About the family: Transfer RNA (tRNA) molecules are approximately 80 nucleotides in length.
Source: Rfam by way of RNAcentral